This 434-nucleotide long non-coding RNA is filed under the name Rattus norvegicus (Norway rat). RNAcentral describes it as "long non-coding RNA NONRATT031292". The record is from RNAcentral. Lineage: Eukaryota; Metazoa; Chordata; Mammalia; Rodentia; Muridae.
UAGCCUACCUCUACUCAAAGGAUAACGAGACUGAGAAAGAAAUUAGUGAACUGACAUCCUUCAUAAUAGUCCCAAAUUAUAUAAAAUAUCUUGGUGUGACUUUAACCAAGCAAGUAAAAGAUCUGUGUGACAAGAACUUGAAGUCUCUAAAGAAAGAAAUUGAGGGUUCUGUGCACAUGGAAUGGUAGGAUUAAUAUAGAAAACAUGGUCAUUUAGCCAAAAGCAAUCUACAGAUUCAAUACAAUCCCCAUCAAAAUCCUACUCAAUUCUUUAUAGAAAUACAAAGAGUGAUUUGCUCACUCCUUCUUUAAAAGGGGAACAAGAAUACCCUUGGCAGGGAAGAGAGAGGCAAAGAUUAAAACAGAGACUGAAGGAACACCCAUUCAGAGCCUGCCCCACAUGUGGCCCAUACAUAUACAGCCACCCAAUUAGAC